Molecule: ribosomal RNA, 465 nt
Filed under: uncultured bacterium
Lineage: Bacteria
Description: partial 16S ribosomal RNA
Rfam family: Bacterial small subunit ribosomal RNA
Source: RNAcentral
CCUACGGGAGGCAGUAGUAGGGAAUCUUCCACAAUGGGCGAAAGCCUGAUGGAGCAACGCCGCGUGGGUGAAGAAGGUCUUCGGAUCGUAAAACCCUGUUGUUAGAGAAGAAAGUGCGUGAGAGUAACUGUUCACGUUUCGACGGUAUCUAACCAGAAAGCCACGGCUAACUACGUGCCAGCAGCCGCGGUAAUACGUAGGUGGCAAGCGUUAUCCGGAUUUAUUGGGCGUAAAGGGAACGCAGGCGGUCUUUUAAGUCUGAUGUGAAAGCCUUCGGCUUAACCGGAGUAGUGCAUUGGAAACUGGGAGACGUGAGUGCAGAAGAGGAGAGUGGAACUACAUGUGUAGCGGUGAAAUGCGUAGAGAUAUGGAAGAACACCAGUGGCGAAAGCGGCUCUCUGGUCUGUAACUGACGCUGAGGUUCGAAAGCGUGGGUAGCAAACAGGAUUAGAUACCCCAGUAGUC